AGGGCCCAGGGCCAAGUGGUGAGGGAAGGGAAAACCAGCCUAGGGCAGCCACGGACGGACGGACGCAAGUCCUUGCGAGGCUGACUCUGGCCACUGCGGUCUGCCCAACAAAGGGGAGAGUGUUUGCAGCCACCGCGUGACCGGAAGGGAAGGGCCGGAUGACUGCCCCAAACUGCCUUAACGGCCUGUUCCCAAGAACUGAAGGAGGAAAGAGGAGACGGAUGGCAUGUCACAGAAGACCCCAGGAGGCCCUGAGCCCUGGGCAGCUGUGGGGGGGGGCAGAGGUGGGUGGCAGGGCGGUGGCUGCCAUCGCAUGGCUUGUCACCAGGAAAGAUGGUCUGAGCCAAGCUGCUCUCGGUGAUCAGGACACCUGACCCAGGACACCACGCCCCCAGCACGCUCUUCGCGGGGGCCCAAACAGAGACGAGCCAGAUGCCCACCAACUGACGAACGAGCGGACAAGCAAAAAGUGAUGCAUUGUGCGACGGGAUGUCAUUCCCAGGCAGGAGGAAGGAAGCGGUGACUGGGCUACGACGCGGGUGAAAGCAGUGAGGGCAGCCGGUCGCGGAAGGCCACAGGCUGCAGGAUCGAUUCGGAUGAAACGUCCUCAACGGGCAAAUCCAUAGAAACAAAAGAGAUUCUCCAGGCUGGGGAGCGUGCAGAUGAUUGCUGAAGACUACAAGGAUUCUCGGGGCGCCCGGGGGGCUUGGCCCGGUUCAGCGGACUCUUGAUGUCAGCUCAUGUCAUGAUCUCACGGGAAGAACGGCGGCUCCGGUGAUUACAGGCUGCCACAAUGAGAAUGGGCUGCCUGGAGGGGUGCGAGCUCCUGACCUGAGAAGUACUGAGGACUAGGGCUUGCUUACCAGCUGUCCACCCCGCUCGCGCGAGGACUCCUAGGCCAGCAGACUGUAAUCUGGACCAGACCACAUCUCCCGGGAGCCCCUGGAGGAGGGCAGUCAGCCCCACCCAACCUACAUAAUGGGUUUGGGCUUGACUGAGAGAAAUUCACAAAAAGAAUAUGGAUGGAAAAAAUGUGGAAAUGCAAGGAGUCACCGGUCGGGAGCAGGAAUCCUAUGGAACGGAGAGCAGAAAGCCUCGGUGGUGAGGGGGCAGGUGGGAUGGAGGGCGUCAAAGGCACCUCAGAGUUUACCCUGCAGGUUGCAGAGCCCCAGGAAGGUGUGUGGCAGGAGGGUGUGGGUUAGAUGGUAGAGGCGAGGCUGGAGGUGGGGGCUACACAGGGGGCUCCUGCAGCACCCCACGAGGAGGUGUGGGGUGGCAGGAGCAGUGGGGUGGGAGCAGGAUGGGGUCAAGCUACGCUAAGAAGGAAGAGCCAGCAGGACAGGGCAACUGAUUGCAGGGCUGGGUCCAAGUGAAGGGAAGCGAGGAGGUGACUCAGGUGCACUUCAGCGGCCCCCGCCCACCCCAGCACCUGCUGCUCGGCCUGAUGGGUGCAGGCAUUUGCCGGAGCCGCCGGGCCUCCCCGGCCACCCAGUCCAUCCUGCCAGCUCUUCGCACACAGACCGGGUCCUCUAGUGUCCGUGUCUGCUUCCCAUCUCUGGGCCAACCUCCGUCUGGCAGGGUCCCAGCCCAGAGUGGGUGUCGCAGGGGGUACGGCCCCUGCCUCCUCACCUCUGCUCGUCACCGUGCGCGCAAGCUCCCGGCUUCACUGCGGCCACAGCUCGGCAAGGCCCCCACGAGACCCGCGAGGUCCUCGGGGGAGCCCACGUCCUCCCUGCCGAUGGUGAUGGUGACACACCUGGAGCACAGUGUGAUUCACCGGCUGGCGUCCACCGGGGGAAAAGAACUGGAAUCUGAAACCCACGGAUUCCUCACGGGUGGGACCGUCCCCACACAGUUCCCCCUGCCCCACAGCCAGGUGUGAUGGAAGCCACAGGACAGUGAAUGCAGUCAGAAGAAUCUGGGAGCCACUUCGCAAGCAUGUGACGUUGGGCAAGUGACUUCAUCUCUCCGACCGUUCCCUUUCUUCAGCUGAAAAUGCAGAUAACGGUGGCCGCCCAGGAGGGCUGAUGUGAACAGGAGACGGGACGGACCGGGGCCUGGCAGCGGCAGGGCAGUCAGGGAUGGACCGGUGCCUCACGCGUCCUUGUGUCCUCCACCGUGUCUGGCCCACCCCCGGCGGGUGCCCAGGAGCCUGCUCCGAAGGGUGGAGGGCCGCUGACUAGAGGGAGGUGGCAGCUGGGGCUGCAAGGAGGACUCCAGAAAAGAGUGAUAAAGGGAGAGCAUGCAAAACUCUGCCACCAUGCAAAACAGAAGCUUGCAAAUGCAAUUCCCAGGGAGCAGCCCAUGCAAACUGAGCCCCGCCAGUGGACACCCUCAGGCCUUCCCCAGCUCCCACCCCAGGGCCCCUUUCUCUGCCACGACGGUGGAGGUGGAGGUGGUGGUGGGAACAGCGGGGCUCCCGGGGGCAGCCCACAUUCACGGAGUUCCCGCUAAUGUCAAAGUGUCGGAUCACUUGCAGAUACCUGACCCGCGAGGGAGGCACCAUUAGGCCUGUUUAACGGAGAGUCCUUCAAGCUUCGCCUCAACCCGGGGAAGGGCGGGCGGGUCCACGGAACACACGCGGACGAACUCACCCGUGAGCAGCUCAGGUCACAGGAAGCCCGCUCCCCACCCGACGGAGCCCAGCCUCCCUCCCGAUCCCCUGGUCUCCGAGGGCGAGGGCGGAGGCCACCCCGAAGCAGCAGCACACAGGACGUGCUUCACAGGCCUUCAGGCGAGGCUGCUGACCCCCAAGGAUUCAGGCCAAGGCCAGUAUCCCCCAGGCCAGGCGCCACCUCCUCUCCUCCCUUGACUCCUCCAUACCCCAGGUCUCCAGACCAGGGACUCUCCUUCUCUCCACUCCAAGCACCUCCUACAGGAAGCCCUCCUGGACUGCUCCCUCCCAGGCUUCUCCUUGCCCUCCAAGCCUAGACUCUGACACCCUCAGCUCUGAGCUGCUCUCCCAGGCUGGGGGCAUGGGCUCAGGCGCCCCCAGAGGCCUAGGAUUCCCCCCACAAGAGUAAUCCUUGCAGAAACUGUGAAAUAAGCAUUAUUUCCAUUUGAGAGCUAAGGAAACAGCCUGGAGGUUAAGAAAAGCUUGUGCGUAUGGUAGCAAAUGGGAGAGGCCAAACCGGACCGCGCCGGCCUCUCAAGCCAAGUGUCUCCUCCAGCCUUACACCUCCCACCUCCUUCUCCAUCCAAGAUCCUAGCAGAUGCCCGGCACUCCCCACACCAUAGACUUUUUAUGACCCCUUUCGAACUUCACGAUUAAGCCUACGGGGAAAGUACAAACAGCCUCAUUUUACACCUGAGGAUAGGGGAGUUCAGACAGUCUCGAAAUAUUCCCUAAGGUCACAGCGCCCUGGAGUGUCAGGAUGGAAAUCGAACCCAACCUUUCUAGCUCUAAAAGCCAAAGUGAGGUUCCCCGGGCCCCUGGGUCCAGGCAGAGCCAGGCUGAGAGAGGCAGGAGACCCCGAUGCCGAUCCUCCAGGCGUCAGCCAGCGCCUCUGAUAAAGGAGGCCGCCUUCCAGAGGGGGAGGCCUGCGGGGUGGCCCCGCUGAUCUGGGGAGAUCCGGAAUCCCGGAGCAGCUGGGCACCGGCUGGCACCACCGACCUCCACCCUCGCGCCGUCCUCUGAGCCGACACGCCCUCAGGUCCUCUCUUUCCCUUCUGCACUUCCCCCCGCCACUGAGCACUCUGGGAUUUGUGAUUCAGUGAAAUGAGAUGGAGAUUAAUUUCCUUUUUUUUAAAAAAAAAUAUUUUAUUAAUUAUUCAUGAGAGGCACAGAGAGAGAGAGAGGCAGAGACACAGGCAGAGGGAGAAGCAGGCUCCAUGCAGGGAGCCCGACGCGGGACUCGAUCCCAGGUCUCCAGGAUCAUGCUCUGGGCUGAAGGCGGCGCUAAACCGCUGCGCCACGGGGACUGCCCGGAGAUUAAUUUCCAUUUUGAGAAUUGUGUUCAAGCGACUCCUAGACCCACGGAGACUAGUAGCUGGAAGACAGAAAUCUGGAAACCGAAUCGCAUGUGUUCCGAUCUCGGCUCAGUCUCCAAAUCGUUGUGUGUCACAGGACAAGUCACUCGCCCUCUCUGCGCUACCGUCCUGUCUGUACAGUCAAGGAGCCGUACCAUGUGUUUCUGGAACUCCUUUAAUUUCAUUUAAAUUCUUUGGUUGUGGGGCGUCUGGGCGGCUCAGCUGGUUAAGGAUCUGACUCUUGAUUUCGGCUCAGUCAUGACCUCAGGGUCCUGGGACCAAGCCCUGCGUCGGGCUCCACGAACUUCGAAUUUCCCAAAGUUAUGGCAGCGCAGCGAAGACGGCAUCAGACUUGAACUCAUACUUGAUUUGGGCUCUCGGCUUUUGUUCUCUCGUAUGUCAAAUAAAUCAUGUGAGGCCUGUA
Molecule: long non-coding RNA, 4393 nt
Organism: Canis lupus familiaris (dog)
Lineage: Eukaryota; Metazoa; Chordata; Mammalia; Carnivora; Canidae
Exons: 10
Source: RefSeq, a predicted model, not a curated record